CCUACGGGUGGCAGCAGUGGGGAAUAUUGGACAAUGGGGGGAACCCUGAUCCAGCCAUGCCGCGUGUGUGAAGAAGGCCCUCGGGUUGUAAAGCACUUUCAGUGAGGAAGAACGCCUGGUGGUUAAUACCCAUCAGGAAAGACAUCACUCACAGAAGAAGCACCGGCUAACUCCGGGCCAGCAGCCGCGGUAAUACGGAGGGUGCGAGCGUUAAUCGGAAUUACUGGGCGUAAAGCGCGCGUAGGUGGCUUGAUAAGCCGGUUGUGAAAGCCCCGGGCUCAACCUGGGAACGGCAUCCGGAACUGUCAAGCUAGAGUGCAGGAGAGGAAGGUAGAAUUCCCGGUGUAGCGGUGAAAUGCGUAGAGAUCGGGAGGAAUACCAGUGGCGAAGGCGGCCUUCUGGACUGACACUGACACUGAGGUGCGAAAGCGUGGGUAGCAAACAGGAUUAGAUACCCUUGUAGUC
This 465-nucleotide ribosomal RNA is filed under the name Vreelandella stevensii. RNAcentral describes it as "partial 16S ribosomal RNA". It matches the Rfam family "Bacterial small subunit ribosomal RNA", at positions 338 to 795 of the family's 1533-position model. The record is from RNAcentral. Lineage: Bacteria; Pseudomonadati; Pseudomonadota; Gammaproteobacteria; Oceanospirillales; Halomonadaceae.